Molecule: non-coding RNA, 3193 nt
Organism: Sus scrofa (pig)
Lineage: Eukaryota; Metazoa; Chordata; Mammalia; Artiodactyla; Suidae
Source: RefSeq, a predicted model, not a curated record
GCGGGAAGGAGGCAGCCUGGAAGAAGGUGUUCGUUCAGCUGCAGAGCUUCGACUCCACAUAGGUGGAUACAGUGUGGAGUUAGCACAGGCCAGCUGCAGCCCAUCUCCCCUGCCUGCAACACCCUGAAGAACACUCUUAUUUUCAAGCAUCACACGACUAGCUCGGACCCACCCAGUGUCAUCUUCCUCUGGCAACAGAAGAACAAUCACAGCUGCACCUGGGAAAGGAUCAUGGCUCCUGGAUCGUGUUCCCUAGGUCUCCACCCUGGAAACCUACAAGCUGGAGGAAGAGAGCAUGUGAAAAGCAAAGACUGGAGAGAUUCCUAAAUAAAAGGUAGGCGGUACUCCACCUCCUCUAAGACCUCAUCUGCCUUAGCGAGUCUGUGCUUCCUGGAACAUUCCAAAGCUCUGACCUCCUUGGGCUGGUUUGUUGCUCAGGAAUGGCAGGGUGGUGGGACCUAUGGCUUGUCCAGAUGAUUGAAGCCAUUGGAUGUCAAGAGAGAAUACCAUCUACAAUCGAGAAACUGCGCUCAGGAAAACUAAUCUUCUAUGAGAUGAAGGCUGGGUUGCCUCUUUAGCAUCUGUGGACCACUCUUAUAUGUCGAAUACUCAAAUGACCCAAGAGUAGCCCAUUAUAGUGUUGACAUGGUGACCAUCUUCAAUCAUGACCUGCAGGAUUAAGAAGACAGUGUCUGUGAAGCUCUCCGAGACUGGUGAGUGAGUGCCCAUGGGAGAGAAAGGAAGAUCUGGAUGGGCCCUGCUUUCCAUGUGCUACGAUGGAAGCAGUCUUGAGCCCAGGCAGUCUUCUUUGUGCGUGGUGGUGGGACCAUCUGCUUCCUAAGACAGGAAUCUUAUCACUCUUGUCCAUCACCAUAUCAUCAGUGCCUACAACAAUGCUGAUACGAAGUAGGUACGCAGUAAUAUUGAGGGAUGACUAAGUGAAUGAUUUGUUGCAAUUUUUCUUUUCCCCCAAAUGAAGUAAAUGUAGUCGAAGUUUAACUGGUGCUGGUAUCCCUAGUGCAGAGAAAUUGUUAGCAUUCGUGGUGGUGAUGGGGAGAGGAUCAUCAUGAUUAGACUAAGAGAUAAUGUACUGCCUUGCUCUGGUUGCAAAAGCCCAGCAUAAAUCAAAUGGUCAAAGAUAAAAAAUAAUCAUCACCAGUGUGCUGAGUGCAUCCAUCAAUAGACAACUUCUGGUAAGUUUUGUAAAAGCAUAAUUUGGUACCACCUCUUUGGAGAAGAAGGUUGGCAAAAAGUUUUAAAAUAUUUAAAUAUGUUCAAUAGUUUAGCUGCAGCCAGAUAAACUGAUUAUAUAACUAGUUCUAGUAGUUUAUCUUAAGGAGCUACCUGAGAAUACACACGGAUGUUGAACGACUGGGGUGUUUAACAUAGAAAAAAUAUUGGAAAUAUCUUUAAUGUUCUACAUAGUAAAUUGUGGCUCUGGAAUAACACGCUGCCAUUUAUUUUUGUGUUCAUGAGGAUGAGGUUUGGCUUAGGUAACAGAGAAAAAAUUGUGGGUUUAGUUUUUUAUGAGAAACUUUAGGGCUUUGAUGGGGCUCCUCAGUCUUCUGGAAUUGAGCUUCCGGAUUAGGAAUGGUGAAAACUCCUAGCACUGGGAAGCCAUGACAGAGUUCUGAAAAGCAUAUGGCUUUCAACUGAUCUGCUCCUUCUUUGUAAAAAUGUCCUAAUUCUUCUCAACAAAGUUUGGAGCUGCUCUUGUUUGUGUGACUUAUGCAAACUCAAUCAGGGCUUAUGAAGAUUCUAGACAACGAGGUUGGGAAUAUGGGACUCCAGAUGGUCAUGACUCUGUCUCCCUGAUUAAGCUGCUUUUAAUUUUUGUUGGCUCUUUCACUUCCUUUAUAAUCUAAAUUAAUAAACAGUCAAAGUUUGGAGAAACACAUUUUUUUUUAAACUUUGAUGCUGCCGUGAUAAAAGGCGUAUGUGGAGGGCAAAGAGGUUUAUUUUAGUCUUUCCCAGCAGAGCCCCAUGCGUAAUUGUGUUGGGUGAUGUCCGAGACACCAAGAAGCGUUUGUAAAGAUUUUCUUUACAAGCCCACAUUUGCAGCCUUCUAUGAAAGGAAGGCAGCAUUUGCUCAUUAGGAUGGACCCCGAAGCAAGGAAAACAUCACCAGUCUUCCUGGAACACUCGAUUCAAUCAAAUUAGGUAGGAGAGCAUCACUUCAAUUCCAGCAUUGAAAGGCCAUGGCCCCAAGCCAAAAUAAUGGGCAUUAAGUGUUGACUAUGAUUACUUCUUGGAGGCAAAGAGUUCUGGGAACCUGUGUGGGAUGAGAACUUAGGGAGUUCCAAAGGACUGAAGUCAGUGGUGAAAUGGUGACAUGUUCAUGGCAGGUAGAGCCCUGAUUUACUGGGUAGGAAAGAGUUAGACACAGCACUCGUCCUGGUGGAGGACAGAACAGUGUCUCAAUUUAUAUAUUUCCUCCAGUUUUAUUGAGAUACAGUUAAUGUACAGAAUUGUGUUAGUUUAAGAGGUAUAAUGUAGUGAUUUGAUAUAUGUAUAUAUUGCAAAAUGAUUACCACAGUAAGUUUAGUUAACAUCCAUCAUCUCUCACAUAACUACAGCUUUUUCCCCAUGGGAUGUGAACUUUUAAGGUCUAUUCUCUUGGUGGCUUUCAAAUAUACGGUACAGGAUCAUGCACUGUAGUCAUCAAGCUGUCCAUUAGCUCCCCAAGAAUCAUGCAUCUUGUACGUGGAAGUUUGUUUUUGACCGCCUUCACCCAUUUCUCCUAUCCCCACCCCUUCCUCUGCCAACCAUCAAUCCAUUCUCAGUUUAUACAUUUUUGAUAGCAACUUCCAUCAUAUUGAUGUUUCAUGGGUCUCUUAAAUGGGCAUUUUCAUCAGAGGCAUUUAUAACAAAAUCAGAGAGAAGUCAAUAGUGCAAGUGCUUUACUCUAUGAGGGACUCAAUGGGUUGCAAGAAAUGGCAACCAGCUUGAGUGGGCUGAUGUACUAGAAACUUUUGUAAAAGGAUUGGAAAUAUCCUAUAAGCAAGUAUGGCUAGGUGAAAAAAAAUCUGGAACCAGGAAUGGUAAAGCUAUUAGGAGUCUGGUGAACUUGACCGACCAGCUCUCUCUGAUUACAGGUGGCGGUACCAGGUUCUGGAUGGUUGCUACAGAUAAAAACUACUACGUAUAAAAUAGAUAAACAACCAUGUUCUACUGUCUAGCACAGGGAACUAUA